This 822-nucleotide ribosomal RNA is filed under the name uncultured bacterium. RNAcentral describes it as "bacterial SSU rRNA". It matches the Rfam family "Bacterial small subunit ribosomal RNA", at positions 93 to 901 of the family's 1533-position model. The record is from RNAcentral.
GAGUGGCGAACGGGUGAGUAACACGUGGGCAACCUGCCCAAAAGAGGGGGAUAACACUUGGAAACAGGUGCUAAUACCGCAUAACCAUAGUUACCGCAUGGUAACUAUGUAAAAGGUGGCUAUGCUACCGCUUUUGGAUGGGCCCGCGGCGCAUCAGCUAGUUGGUGGGGUAAAGGCUUACCAAGGCAAUGAUGCGUAGCCGAACUGAGAGGUUGAUCGGCCACAUUGGGACUGAGACACGGCCCAAACUCCUACGGGAGGCAGCAGUAGGGAAUCUUCCACAAUGGGCGAAAGCCUGAUGGAGCAACGCCGCGUGGGUGAAGAAGGUCUUCGGAUCGUAAAACCCUGUUGUUAGAGAAGAAAGUGCGUGAGAGUAACUGUUCACGUUUCGACGGUAUCUAACCAGAAAGCCACGGCUAACUACGUGCCAGCAGCCGCGGUAAUACGUAGGUGGCAAGCGUUAUCCGGAUUUAUUGGGCGUAAAGGGAACGCAGGCGGUCUUUUAAGUCUGAUGUGAAAGCCUUCGGCUUAACCGGAGUAGUGCAUUGGAAACUGGGAGACUUGAGUGCAGAAGAGGAGAGUGGAACUCCAUGUGUAGCGGUGAAAUGCGUAGAUAUAUGGAAGAACACCAGUGGCGAAAGCGGCUCUCUGGUCUGUAACUGACGCUGAGGUUCGAAAGCGUGGGUAGCAAACAGGAUUAGAUACCCUGGUAGUCCACGCCGUAAACGAUGAAUGCUAAGUGUUGGAGGGUUUCCGCCCUUCAGUGCUGCAGCUAACGCAAUAAGCAUUCCGCCUGGGGAGUACGACCGCAAGGUUGAAACU